This is a long non-coding RNA of Mus musculus (house mouse), 2508 nucleotides long. RefSeq annotates it as predicted gene, 32035. The transcript has 4 exons. The record is from RefSeq and is a predicted model, not a curated record. Lineage: Eukaryota; Metazoa; Chordata; Mammalia; Rodentia; Muridae.
AACCAUCUGUGUGGUCAAGAAUUUAGAACUAUCUACAGUUAACUGGUAGGUACAGAGUCUCAUUCACAACUGUAGGCAAUGGCUGUUUCUCCUCCAGAACACAAACUGCCAGUAAUUCAUUAGGGAGGAUAAGGAUCCAGAAGUCCUUCCAGUAUCCAUGAUAAUCCAGGUUUGUGCAAGCCCAGCACAAGUACAGAUAUCUACUAUGAGACCAUGUUUACAACGCGGUGGCCAAUUACUCUUGUGGGACAUGAGGACCUUCACAGGACAUGGUAAACACUAGAUAAGGUCACAGUUCAUCUCCUGAGUCUGUUCCAUGGCCCUGAUCGAUCUGUAGCAGCUGAAUUCCAAUACAUUUUUGUCAUCUUCAUUGACCUGGUGCUUGAGUUAUAUUGGAUUUGUGUUGGGUUUAAGCAGACCUCACAACAAUUUACAUCUAAUACAUAAAGCCCGUGUAAGUUUUAGUAAUUCAGGUGGAGUCAGGGAAGUUUAUGGUCACUAAUCAUCCUCUCGUAUCUUUGGAAAUUAUCAUGUUGAGUCUUAGACUAGUGAUUCUCAACCUUCUGAGUGUUGCGAUUCUUUAAAACAUUCCUCAUGUUGUGAUGACCACCAGCCAACAAUUAGUUUUGUUGCUAGUUCAUCUCUGUAAUUUUGCUACUGUUAUGCAUCACAAUGUAAAUAUCUGUUUGUUUGUUUGUUUGUUUGUUUCUGAUGUUUGUAUCAUUUGACUCCCAGGUUGAGAUCCACUGGUCUACAUGAAAGAUGGAACUCCCUUAAUGUCUGAUACUUAUUUAGAGGAGAAAACGUCUAUCUCCAAAGCAAAUGUGGCCUACAACACUGUCACUUUGGAUACAUUUCAGGAAAAAUUCCUGAAGUACAUUCCUGAAGGUCAGAAGUUACUGGGAUAUUCAUAGAGUGAAAGAAGAGAAAAGAAAAUACCUGGAGGAAGGUUUCUUUCUGGAACUCCCCCUCCCUCCUAAAAUCUGAAAGCAGGAUGGAAUACAAUAAAAUAUAGAGUAUCCUGUUUGCAAAGACUCUGCUUAUAAUCUAAAACCAAAUUAACCAUUUAAGAAGUGAAACCUUUGAGAUUCCAGUAUCUUCCAUCAGUGUUCUGUAUCUCCUCUAUCAUUCUUCUGUCAUUCAGAUUCCCACAUCUAUGAACUGGUUCUUAUGGUCCACCCAAAGUCUCUUGUUUUUCCUCAAUAGAAUAUUCUUUUCUAGAAAUUGUGUUCCUCUAUAUAUGCUUUAAAUAAUGAGUGAAAGAUUAGAUUCUGGAUCCAAGUAUUGAUAUUUGAAUUUCACAACAGACUGGGUUAGCUAAUGGCAGAAGGCAAGAAAUGUAUUUCUUUAAUUGUGCAAGGCUUAUUCUGCCAUAUGCUUAUAGUAAGAGGUGUGUGUGUGUGUGUGUGUGUGUGUGUAGAUUCAAAAUACAUUUCUUAAAGUUGAAAAUAAAUAGCCUUUGACUAUUUGAUCAACCCCUCACAAUUUUAUAAAACUCUUCUGUGGCUAACCACAGUAAACAGAACCCCUCACCACUUUUGUAAGUUUUAUGGUAUAAAUCCCAAUAGUUAGACAGCUUUAGAAAGAAAUAAAAAGAGAGAAUUAGUUAAAUAGUGGAUUGAUCAAGUUCACAAACAGAUUCUUGCAGGAACUGUGGAUGUACAGGGUGGGUUAUCUUCCCCUUAAGGUAUUGACGAAUGCAAAUCACUCAAAUUCCUUGCCUCUGAUUCCCCAUUCACCUAGCAUUUCUAAAAUUAUCUUUUAUCAUCUAAUGUGUGUUCAUAAGAUUCAGAAUACUCUCAUCAUGUGAUCCUGGGUUAUUACAGUUUCUACUGUUGAUUAAUUAAUUGAUAACUUUGCAUGUUACCUUCUAGAAGCCUCAUUGAUAUAGACUAUCUAUUUAUUUCCAGAACUGAUAUAUUAGUUUUCUGAGUCUAUAUAACUAAAGGGCCAACCUUGAACUGGGGUGAAUUCAAUAAAGGGAAUGUCCUUCUAGUCUCUUGGAAGCCUGCCUGACUGUUUCUCUGGGGACAGUGUCACAACUCUGUGUUAUUUUCAAAUUCCACAGUUGCAAUUAGAAGAGAACUCAAAACAUAAAAAUGUGGGGUUUUUUUUUUUGUUGUUGUUUGUUUGUUUUGUUUGUUUGUUUUGUAGAGCAUUUGUUUCCUUCCUGAUCAAUGUGCAGAAUAUGUUUUUUAAACCAAUCUUUAUUUUUUCCUUAUGUUUUUCUUCUAAAUUUUAAUGAACACAACCUGUAAAGUUAAUCAAGGUUAAUUUAUUUAUUUCUACCAAAUGUGCUAGAAAUUGGGAGAGGAAUCAGCAAGGUUCAGUUAAUAUUGGCAAGAACGAGAGGAGAAGGACAUCAUCACAUUUAAUCACAUUUCAUCAUCACAUUUAAUAUUUUACAGGCUUCUUACCAUCUUCAUUAAACAUGUUUGAUGCUGUUUAUGCUGAUGCCAAAGGAGGUUAAACACAACUUAAGUAUGUUGUUAAUUUGUAAGAAUGUUU